AACGAACGCUGGCGGCAUGCCUAACACAUGCAAGUCGAACGAGACCUUCGGGUCUAGUGGCGCACGGGUGCGUAACGCGUGGGAACCUGCCCUUAGGUUCGGAAUAACUCCCCGAAAGGGGUGCCAAUACCGGAUAAUGUCUUCGGACCAAAGAUUUAUCGCCUUUGGAUGGGCCCGCGUUGGAUUAGCUAGUUGGUAGGGUAAAAGCCUACCAAGGCGACGAUCCAUAGCUGGUCUGAGAGGAUGAUCAGCCACACUGGGACUGAGACACGGCCCAGACUCCUACGGGAGGCAGCAGUGGGGAAUAUUGGACAAUGGGCGAAAGCAUGAUCCAGCAAUGCCGCGUGAGUGAUGAAGGCCUUAGGGUUGUAAAGCUCUUUUACCCGGGAUGAUAAUGACAGUACCGGGAGAAUAAGCUCCGGCUAACUCCGUG
Molecule: ribosomal RNA, 433 nt
Filed under: uncultured bacterium
Lineage: Bacteria
Description: partial 16S ribosomal RNA
Rfam family: Bacterial small subunit ribosomal RNA
Source: RNAcentral